CUAAUUACCUGCAUAGCACAACGCCAUCUGGCAGCAGAUUUCAGCAGGAGCAGCCAUGGGUAAGUCUUCCGUUGACUUUGAAUCAGCCUGGUCUGCAGUGGCCAUCCCUCAUGCCGUUGCCAAGGGUGGGAAACACCUCAUGUUCUUCUCCCUUAGGAUACCCUAUUUUAGACCAAACUAGUUGUCCUUCUGGUCCUAUGUUGGCAGAUAGCCUGCUGAACAGAGGGCUAGUUGUGCUGUAUGUGGGUCUGGUGAUUCGGAUGGCAGUCACCUGUUUGUGGAGACCCCUCCUUCCUAUCACACAGGACAACACAGGCCUGGUGGGGCGGGAAACCAGAGCCAAAGGAGCUGAGUUAGAACAUAACAAAAAAAAAAAAAA
RNAcentral lists this long non-coding RNA (379 nucleotides) under Rattus norvegicus (Norway rat). RNAcentral's name for it is "long non-coding RNA NONRATT013130". Lineage: Eukaryota; Metazoa; Chordata; Mammalia; Rodentia; Muridae. The record is from RNAcentral.